UAAUACCUGAUGGUAUGAUGAGAUUGCAUGAUAGCAUCAUUAAAGAUUUAUCGGUGUACGAUGGGGAUGCGUUCCAUUAGGUAGUAGGCGGGGUAACGGCCCACCUAGCCAACGAUGGAUAGGGGUUCUGAGAGGAAGGUCCCCCAUAUUGGAACUGAGACACGGUCCAAACUCCUACGGGAGGCAGCAGUGAGGAAUAUUGGUCAAUGGACGAGAGUCUGAACCAGCCAAGUAGCGUGAAGGAUGAAGGUCCUACGGAUUGUAAACUUCUUUUAUAAGGGAAUAAACCCUCCCACGUGUGGGAGCUUGUAUGUACCUUAUGAAUAAGCAUCGGCUAACUCCGUGCCAGCAGCCGCGGUAAUACGGAGGAUGCGAGCGUUAUCCGGAUUUAUUGGGUUUAAAGGGAGCGCAGACGGGUCGUUAAGUCAGCUGUGAAAGUUUGGGGCUCAACCUUAAAAUUGCAGUUGAUACUGGCGUCCUUGAGUGCGGUUGAGGUGUGCGGAAUUCGUGGUGUAGCGGUGAAAUGCUUAGAUAUCACGAAGAACUCCGAUUGCGAAGGCAGCACACUAAUCCGUAACUGACGUUCAUGCUCGAAAGCGUGGGGAGCAAACAGGAUUAGAUACC
RNAcentral lists this ribosomal RNA (624 nucleotides) under uncultured bacterium. RNAcentral describes it as "bacterial SSU rRNA". It matches the Rfam family "Bacterial small subunit ribosomal RNA", at positions 164 to 786 of the family's 1533-position model. The record is from RNAcentral.